AGUGAACGCUGGCGGUAGGCCUAACACAUGCAAGUCGAACGGCAGCACAGUAAGAGCUUGCUCUUACGGGUGGCGAGUGGCGGACAGGUGAGGAAUACAUCGGAAUCUACUUUUUCGUGGGGGAUAACGUAGGGAAACUUACGCUAAUACCGCAUACGACCUACGGGUGAAAGCAGGGGAUCUUCGGACCUUGCGCGAUUGAAUGAGCCGAUGUCGGAUUAGCUAGUUGGCGGGGUAAAGGCCCACCAAGGCGACGAUCCGUAGCUGGUCUGAGAGGAUGAUCAGCCACACUGGAACUGAGACACGGUCCAGACUCCUACGGGAGGCAGCAGUGGGGAAUAUUGGAUAAUGGGCGCAAGCCUGAUCCAGCCAUACCGCGUGGGUGAAGAAGGCCUUCGGGUUGUAAAGCCCUUUUGUUGGGAAAGAAAAGCAGCAGGUUAAUACCCCGCUGUUCUGACGGUACCCAAAGAAUAAGCACCGGCUAACUUCGUG
RNAcentral lists this ribosomal RNA (492 nucleotides) under uncultured bacterium. Its description in RNAcentral is "partial 16S ribosomal RNA". It matches the Rfam family "Bacterial small subunit ribosomal RNA", at positions 29 to 507 of the family's 1533-position model. The record is from RNAcentral.